Molecule: ribosomal RNA, 467 nt
Filed under: uncultured bacterium
Lineage: Bacteria
Description: bacterial SSU rRNA
Rfam family: Bacterial small subunit ribosomal RNA
Source: RNAcentral
AAUGAACGUUGGCGGCGUGGAUUAGGCAUGCAAGUCGAGCGGUAAGGCCCCUUCGGGGGUACACGAGCGGCGCAAGGGAGAGUAACGCGUGGAUACCUGCCCCUGGGUCCGGAAUAGCUGUGGGAAACUGCAGGUAAUGCCGGAUGAUGUCCCCGGACCAAAGGUGUGAUUCCGCCCGGGAGGGGUCCGCGUCCUAUUAGCUUGUUGGUGGGGUAACGGCCUACCAAGGCGAUGAUGGGUACCGGGUGUGAGAGCAUGGCCCGGCUCACUGGGACUGAGACACUGCCCAGACACCUACGGGUGGCUGCAGUCGAGAAUCUUCGGCAAUGGGCGCAAGCCUGACCGAGCGACGCCGCGUGCGGGAUGAAGGCCUUCGGGUUGUAAACCGCUGUCAGAGGGGAGGAAAUCUACGGGGGCUAUCCCCCGCAGUUGACCUAGCCUCAGAGGAAGGACGGGCUAAGUUCGUG